CCAUGUUCUUGUACAUUACUAAUUGGUGUUUUCCAUUUUCUUUUCUUUUCUUUUACUUUGUCCCUCCCACAAUAGGAAAUCACACCUCGGAUUUUAGGGGAAAGAAAAUAUGUGUGGGUGUGAUAGUUGGAGUUAAAAAGAAAGAUGAAAGAAAUAAGAGUCUUGCUAUGUAAUGUCAAUGUGAUAGAUUUGUGUUGAAUUACUAGUGCGAAACGUAUUAAUACAUGAGAUUAGAAAGGUUCUAGGCAAAUCAAAA
This 256-nucleotide long non-coding RNA is filed under the name Panax ginseng (ginseng). RNAcentral's name for it is "long non-coding RNA (PGIN_LNC014366)". The record is from RNAcentral. Lineage: Eukaryota; Viridiplantae; Streptophyta; Magnoliopsida; Apiales; Araliaceae.